Molecule: long non-coding RNA, 1023 nt
Organism: Populus euphratica (Euphrates poplar)
Lineage: Eukaryota; Viridiplantae; Streptophyta; Magnoliopsida; Malpighiales; Salicaceae
Exons: 3
Source: RefSeq, a predicted model, not a curated record
UUCUUACUGGGUAAUUAACGUUUUUUUCUUUUUUCUUUUUUUUUCUUGUAAGAAAAAAAAGAGAAUGGUAUUGGGACACCGAAAAUGGGAGACUUCGUGCUGGACCUGUGUUGUGGAAGUGGGGAUUUAGCAUUUCUCUUGUCUGAAAAAGGUGGCUCCAAUGGCGGCAAGGUGAGUAAUCUUGAUUUGUCAAAGGAGCAGCUGUUUAUGGCUUCGUCCCGGAAACAUUUGCUUGCAAAGGCUUACUGCAAGAGCAUCGAGUGAGCAUUGGUAAAAGAUUUUUUUCGCACCUCGUGAUUUUAACAUUUUGGAUACCCUGAUUUACAUUGCAUUGAUUGAUCACAGGUGGGUUGAGGGCGAGGCAACUGAUCUGCCCUUCCAAGAUUGAUACUUUGAUGCUAUUCCCAUAGGUUAUGGGUUUCGAAAAUGUGGUGGAUAAGCGGAAGGCCUUGCGGGAGAUGUUUAGAGCACCGAGACCAGGGAAGGAGGUGGAAGAACAUGGUCUGGAAGCAGGAUUUUGUACUUCCACACACUAUGAGAUUAGUGGAGGCCUAAUGGGGAAAGUAGUAGCCACACGCUAGAUGAGGUUGGUUCUCAGUUUUUAACAGCAUGUUUUCAAAGUUUUUGUUGGGUAAGGACAUAUUAUAUAUAGGGGUUGAUGAUUUUUAUGUUUAGAAUGUUUACUGCAACUCAGGCAUAACAAAUGAUAAGCUAAAAGCCACAAACAAUCUGGCUACAUGGAUGAUAAAUUUCCGUUGUAUUAUUUUUCGACGAGAGCUUCCUGCCCAAGAGCAUCCUCGAUGGAAGAGGAAAUGCAUGUGAACCCCUCAAUCCAGAAGUUUGUAUUCUUACAUGAUUUUUAUUUUCAAAAAGAUCUUAAAACUUGUAAUUCUAGUUUUCCUCGAGCUAGAUUUGUUUAUUUAAACCUACAAAAUUUUAUAAAUCAGUCAGUAAAACUUUACAUUGUCAUGCACUCUUGUCCAACUCCACGAUGAAUAUAGGAAUUGGCAUUACUGCACUCAA